AACGAACGCUGGCGGCAUGCCUAACACAUGCAAGUCGAACGAAGCCUUCGGGCUUAGUGGCGCACGGGUGCGUAACGCGUGGGAAUCUGCCCCUUGCUUCGGAAUAACAGUUAGAAAUGACUGCUAAUACCGGAUGAAGUCUUCGGACCAAAGAUUUAUCGGCAAGGGAUGAGCCCGCGUAGGAUUAGGUAGUUGGUGGGGUAAAGGCCUACCAAGCCGACGAUCCUUAGCUGGUCUGAGAGGAUGAUCAGCCACACUGGGACUGAGACACGGCCCAGACUCCUACGGGAGGCAACAGUGGGGAAUAUUGGACAAUGGACGCAAGUCUGAUCCAGCAAUGCCGCGUGAGUGAUGAAGGCCUUAGGGUUGUAAAGCUCUUUUACCAGGGAUGAUAAUGACAGUACCUGGAGAAUAAGCUCCGGCUAACUCCGUG
Molecule: ribosomal RNA, 433 nt
Filed under: uncultured bacterium
Lineage: Bacteria
Description: partial 16S ribosomal RNA
Rfam family: Bacterial small subunit ribosomal RNA
Source: RNAcentral